This 274-nucleotide ribosomal RNA is filed under the name uncultured bacterium. RNAcentral describes it as "partial 16S ribosomal RNA". It matches the Rfam family "Bacterial small subunit ribosomal RNA", at positions 523 to 796 of the family's 1533-position model. The record is from RNAcentral.
AUACGGAGGGUGCAAGCGUUAUUCGGAAUCACUGGGCGUAAAGGACGCGUAGGCGGGUUGGCAAGUCAGAUGUGAAAUCCUACAGCUUAACUGUAGAACUGCAUUUGAAACUGCUAACCUAAAGUAUGGGAGGGGGAGAUGGAAUUAGUGGUGUAGGGGUAAAAUCCGUAGAUAUCACUAGGAAUACCGAAAGCGAAGGCGAUCUCCUGGAACAUAACUGACGCUAAGGCGUGAAAGCGUGGGGAGCAAACAGGAUUAGAAACCCCAGUAGUCC